UACGUAGGGCGCAAGCGUUGUCCGGGAUUAUUGGGCGUAAAGAGCUCGUAGGCGGUCUGUUACGUCCGCUGUGAAAACCCAGGGCUUAACCCUGGGCUUGCAGUGGAUACGGGUAGACUAGAGGCAGGUAGGGGAGAAUGGAAUUCCCGGUGUAGCGGUGAAAUGCGCAGAUAUCGGGAGGAACACCGGUGGCGAAGGCGGUUCUCUGGGCCUGACCUGACGCUGAGGAGCGAAAGCGUGGGGAGCGAACAGG
RNAcentral lists this ribosomal RNA (253 nucleotides) under uncultured bacterium. RNAcentral's name for it is "partial 16S ribosomal RNA". It matches the Rfam family "Bacterial small subunit ribosomal RNA", at positions 524 to 776 of the family's 1533-position model. The record is from RNAcentral.